CGUGUCUCCCUCCUGUCUCCCAUCCCAUGAUUACCCCUGACACUGCUCGCUCCCUCACACUCCCUCACUUGGUGUCCUUGUUUUUGUGCCGCUGAUAUUUGCUGUUCUUGGGAGAAAUAAGAAGUGGCGGAGCAAUACUCCAUUGCCUUCUGGCUGCACUACACCUCUGUGACCCCAUUCAUGGAAGACUGCUCAAAGAAGUCUGAAGUGUGAAGCAACUCAGUACCCUCCAUUGAGGAGUAGCAAUUCCACUGUUCCAGUUAACUGCAUGGCGAGCCAACCCAAGAAUGGAUAAGAAUGCUGAGGUUUUAUUGAAGCUCGAGCUUUGUUUCCAUCGCGUGGUGAAACAGAUACCUGCAGAAGGCCCCAACAAU
This is a long non-coding RNA of Oreochromis niloticus (Nile tilapia), 374 nucleotides long. RefSeq lists it as uncharacterized. The record is from RefSeq and is a predicted model, not a curated record. NCBI's taxonomy places the organism in Eukaryota, Metazoa, Chordata, Actinopteri, Cichliformes, Cichlidae. The transcript is spliced from 4 exons.